UACAGCAGAGAUCAAGGAAGAUUCUGAUUUCAAAGAAGUUAAUUGAAUUGGUUGAUUACUCAAAACAGAGGUAGUAGACAAUGGCUUGCUUGUAGAAAGCUGGUUUCUAGUGGUAGGUCCUUUCGAGACAGGACCCCAAUCCUCAUCCCAUGAAGAGCUACUUUUUGAAGCUGGAGCAACAGUUCCACUUGUUUUGCUCAAGGCUUGAGACUGAAGCCCAUUGGGAAAAGGUGCCGUCUUUACCUCUGGAAUUCCAGAAUCAGUAACUGUAACUCCUCUUUUUUCUUCUAUUAUCCUGAGGAUAUCCUUCACAAAGAGCAUAUAUUUGGCAAACUGCAGAACAUUUAAUUGUAAGUGAGAAGAGGGAUAAGUAGAGGAAGGACAUGCUCUGCCACAAAUUCUACUCCAUACU
Molecule: unclassified non-coding RNA, 412 nt
Filed under: Hevea brasiliensis (rubber tree)
Lineage: Eukaryota; Viridiplantae; Streptophyta; Magnoliopsida; Malpighiales; Euphorbiaceae
Source: RNAcentral